RNAcentral lists this ribosomal RNA (466 nucleotides) under uncultured beta proteobacterium. RNAcentral describes it as "bacterial SSU rRNA". It matches the Rfam family "Bacterial small subunit ribosomal RNA", at positions 198 to 645 of the family's 1533-position model. The record is from RNAcentral. Lineage: Bacteria; Pseudomonadati; Pseudomonadota; Betaproteobacteria.
GGAGGAAAGUAGGGGAUCGCAAGACCUUGCGCUUUUGGAGCGGCCGAUGCCUGAUUAGCUUGUUGGUGAGGUAAAAGCUCACCAAGGCUUCGAUCAGUAGCUGGUCUGAGAGGACGACCAGCCACACUGGGACUGAGACACGGCCCAGACUCCUACGGGAGGCAGCAGUGGGGAAUUUUGGACAAUGGGGGCAACCCUGAUCCAGCCAUGCCGCGUGAGUGAAGAAGGCCUUCGGGUUGUAAAGCUCUUUCAGCCGGAACGAAACGGUUACGGUUAAUACCCGUGACUACUGACGGUACCGGAAGAAGAAGCACCGGCUAACUACGUGCCAGCAGCCGCGGUAAUACGUAGGGUGCGAGCGUUAAUCGGAAUUACUGGGCGUAAAGCGUGCGCAGGUGGUUUUGUAAGUCAGAUGUGAAAUCCCCGGGCUUAACCUGGGAACUGCGUUUGAAACUACAAAGCUAGA